RNAcentral lists this transfer RNA (60 nucleotides) under Proasellus coxalis. Its description in RNAcentral is "transfert RNA-P(CCA)". The record is from RNAcentral. RNAcentral also lists the same sequence under 1 other name. Lineage: Eukaryota; Metazoa; Arthropoda; Malacostraca; Isopoda; Asellidae.
CAGAAGAUAGUUUAGUAAAAAUAAUAAUUUUGGAGGUUAUAGACGUUGAGACUCUUCUGA